This 253-nucleotide ribosomal RNA is filed under the name uncultured bacterium. RNAcentral's name for it is "partial 16S ribosomal RNA". It matches the Rfam family "Bacterial small subunit ribosomal RNA", at positions 524 to 776 of the family's 1533-position model. The record is from RNAcentral.
UACAGAGGGUGCGAGCGUUGUCCGGAAUCACUGGGCGUAAAGGGCGCGUAGGCGGCUUGAUAAGGUUGCGGUGAAAGCCCGGGGCUCAACCCCGGGUCGGCCGUGGCAACUGUCGAGCUGGAGCACUGUAGAGGCAGGUGGAAUUCCGGGUGUAGCGGUGGAAUGCGCAGAUAUCAGGAGGAACACCGGUGGCGAAGGCGGGUCUCUGGGCCGGAACUGACGCUGAGGAGCGAAAGCGUGGGGAGCGAACAGG